UACGGAGGAUGCGAGCGUUAUCCGGAUUUAUUGGGUUUAAAGGGUGCGUAGGCGGAAUAUCAAGUCAGCGGUAAAAAUUCGGGGCUCAACCCCGUCGUGCCGUUGAAACUGAUGUUCUUGAGUGGGCGAGAAGUAUGCGGAAUGCGUGGUGUAGCGGUGAAAUGCGUAGAUAUAAGGAAGAACACCAGUGGCGAAGGCGGAUGACUGGACGGCAACUGACGGUGAGGCGCGAAAGCGUGGGGAGCAAACAGG
Molecule: ribosomal RNA, 252 nt
Filed under: uncultured Bacteroidales bacterium
Lineage: Bacteria; Pseudomonadati; Bacteroidota; Bacteroidia; Bacteroidales
Description: partial 16S ribosomal RNA
Rfam family: Bacterial small subunit ribosomal RNA
Source: RNAcentral